This 482-nucleotide ribosomal RNA is filed under the name uncultured bacterium. RNAcentral's name for it is "bacterial SSU rRNA". It matches the Rfam family "Bacterial small subunit ribosomal RNA", at positions 30 to 507 of the family's 1533-position model. The record is from RNAcentral.
AUUGAACGCUGGCGGUAUGCUUUACACAUGCAAGUCGAACGGUAACAGGUCUUCGGAUGCUGACGAGUGGCGAACGGGUGAGUAAUGUAUCGGAACGUGCCUAGUAAUGGGGGAUAACCACUCGAAAGAGUGACUAAUACCGCAUAAUAUCUCAGGAUGAAAGCGGGGGACCGUAAGGCCUCGCGUUAUUAGAGCGGCCGAUAUCAGAUUAGGUAGUUGGUGGGAUAAAAGCCUACCAAGCCAACGAUCUGUAGCUGGUCUGAGAGGACGACCAGCCACACUGGGACUGAGACACGGCCCAGACUCCUACGGGAGGCAGCAGUGGGGAAUUUUGGACAAUGGGCGAAAGCCUGAUCCAGCAAUACCGCGUGCAGGACGAAGGCCUUCGGGUUGUAAACUGCUUUUGUACGGAACGAAACGGUUCAGAUUAAUACUCUGAACUAAUGACGGUACCGUAAGAAUAAGCACCGGCUAACUACGUG